Molecule: ribosomal RNA, 429 nt
Filed under: bacterium
Lineage: Bacteria
Description: partial 16S ribosomal RNA
Rfam family: Bacterial small subunit ribosomal RNA
Source: RNAcentral
UAGGGAAUCUUCCACAAUGGACGCAAGUCUGAUGGAGCAACGCCGCGUGAGUGAAGAAGGUUUUCGGAUCGUAAAGCUCUGUUGUUGGUGAAGAAGGAUAGAGGCAGUAACUGGUCUUUAUUUGACGGUAAUCAACCAGAAAGUCACGGCUAACUACGUGCCAGCAGCCGCGGUAAUACGUAGGUGGCAAGCGUUGUCCGGAUUUAUUGGGCGUAAAGCGAGCGCAGGCGGAAUGAUAAGUCUGAUGUGAAAGCCCUCGGCUCAACCGUGGAACUGCCUCGGAAACUGUCAUUCUUGAGUGCAGAAGAGGAGAGUGGAAUUCCAUGUGUAGCGGUGGAAUGCGUAGAUAUAUGGAAGAACACCAGUGGCGAAGGCGGCUCUCUGGUCUGCAACUGACGCUGAGGCUCGAAAGCAUGGGUAGCGAACAGG